This 465-nucleotide ribosomal RNA is filed under the name uncultured ammonia-oxidizing bacterium. Its description in RNAcentral is "bacterial SSU rRNA". It matches the Rfam family "Bacterial small subunit ribosomal RNA", at positions 198 to 644 of the family's 1533-position model. The record is from RNAcentral.
GGAGGAAAGCAGGGGAUCGAAAGACCUUGCGCUUUGGGAGCGGCCGAUGUCUGAUUAGCUAGUUGGUGGGGUAAAGGCCUACCAAGGCGACGAUCAGUAGUUGGUCUGAGAGGACGACCAGCCACACUGGGACUGAGACACGGCCCAGACUCCUACGGGAGGCAGCAGUGGGGAAUUUUGGACAAUGGGCGCAAGCCUGAUCCAGCAAUGCCGCGUGAGUGAAGAAGGCCUUCGGGUUGUAAAGCUCUUUCAGUCGAGAAGAAAAAGCUGCAGUGAAUAACUGUAGUUCAUGACGGUAUCGACAGAAGAAGCACCGGCUAACUACGUGCCAGCAGCCGCGGUAAUACGUAGGGUGCGAGCGUUAAUCGGAAUUACUGGGCGUAAAGGGUGCGCAGGCGGCUUUGUAAGUCAGAUGUGAAAUCCCCGGGCUUAACCUGGGAAUUGCGUUUGAAACUACAAAGCUAG